Molecule: ribosomal RNA, 388 nt
Filed under: uncultured Helicobacter sp.
Lineage: Bacteria; Pseudomonadati; Campylobacterota; Epsilonproteobacteria; Campylobacterales; Helicobacteraceae
Description: bacterial SSU rRNA
Rfam family: Bacterial small subunit ribosomal RNA
Source: RNAcentral
CUAGCUUGCUAGGUGGAUUAGUGGCGCACGGGUGAGUAACGCAUAGAUAACAUGCCCUUUAGUUUGGGAUAGCCACUAGAAAUGGUGAUUAAUACCAAAUACUACCCUACGGGGGAAAGAUUUAUCGCUAAAGGAUUGGUCUAUGUCCUAUCAGCUUGUUGGUGAGGUAAAGGCUCACCAAGGCGAUGACGGGUAUCCGGCCUGAGAGGGUGAACGGACACACUGGAACUGAGACACGGUCCAGACUCCUACGGGAGGCAGCAGUAGGGAAUAUUGCUCAAUGGGCGCAAGCCUGAAGCAGCAACGCCGCGUGGAGGAUGAAGGUUUUAGGAUUGUAAACUCCUUUUGUCAGAGAAGAUAAUGACGGUAUCUCACGAAUAAGCACUAA